GGACUACCCGGGUUUCUAAUCCUGUUUGCUCCCCUUGCUUUCGGGCCUUAGCGUCAGGAAUAAGCUAGAAAACCGCCUUCGCCACCGGUGUUCUUCCACAUAUCUACGCAUUUCACCGCUACAUGUGGAAUUCCGUUUUCUCCGCCUACCCUCUAGAUAUGCAGUCUCAAAUGCCAUUCCGGGGUUGAGCCCCGGGCUUUCACAUCUGACUUACAUUUCCGCCUACGCCCUCUUUACGCCCAAUAAAUCCGAUUAAUGCUUGCACCCUCCGUAUUACCGCGGCUGCUGGCAC
Molecule: ribosomal RNA, 292 nt
Filed under: uncultured bacterium
Lineage: Bacteria
Description: partial 16S ribosomal RNA
Source: RNAcentral